UAGAGCGCACCCCUGAUAAGGUGAGGUCGGUGGUUCAAGUCCACUCAGGCCUACCAAAUUUUCCCUGAAUACUGCGUUGUGAAAUAACUCACAUACUGAUGUAUGCUUCGUUAUUCCACGCCUUGUCUCAGGAAAAAUUAUCGGUAAAGAGGUUCUGACUACACGAUGGGGCUAUAGCUCAGCUGGGAGAGCGCCUGCUUUGCACGCAGGAGGUC
This 215-nucleotide unclassified non-coding RNA is filed under the name Salmonella sp. Its description in RNAcentral is "partial 16S-23S ribosomal RNA intergenic spacer region". The stretch from base 168 to 215 matches the Rfam family "tRNA", at positions 1 to 46 of the family's 71-position model. Lineage: Bacteria; Pseudomonadati; Pseudomonadota; Gammaproteobacteria; Enterobacterales; Enterobacteriaceae. The record is from RNAcentral.